RNAcentral lists this unclassified non-coding RNA (627 nucleotides) under Hevea brasiliensis (rubber tree). The record is from RNAcentral. Lineage: Eukaryota; Viridiplantae; Streptophyta; Magnoliopsida; Malpighiales; Euphorbiaceae.
GUAGAAACCCUUAAUUCUAGGUAAAUACUGACAUGUGCUUAGGGCCACCCCUGUUAUAUGUUGAUUCAACCUUGGUAGUGAAUUUAAACUUUAAGCAGCAUUAUUACUUUUAUACUUUCUUAUAUGCUAUAUAAAAUGUAAUGCUACCAUUGUUGAUCUUGCAACAAUUCAUUUGGAUUAGCAUGUAACUUGUAUUUUUAAUGCUAAUCUGAUGAGAAUGUUGUGGAUAUUACUUCCUCAUUUCAUUGUGAGGUUAUAAUGUGUAAAUUUUCUGAAACACUGAAAAUUGUUUACUCUUUCCUAAAGGCAUUCUUCUUCUUUUUCUUCUGUUAACAUCUCAGAUUUCCCUGGAUGCUCAAUCUGACUUUUGAAGUUCUCACAAUGGUAUUGGCACUUUGUGUCGACUUCCAUUGAACAGCUUUUGUACAUAUAUGAGAAUUUUCCUUUGCUCUACUUUCUGGUUAUUGGAAGGAAAAUAUUUAUAGGAUGAUGUUCUUAUCGAAAGCUUUAGUCAGCAUGUUUAAACCAUUUGCACGUUUUAGCUGUCAUGAGGAAGACCUUUUCAACUUGACUGAUGCACACAAGUUUUUGUAAUUGUCUCUGUACAGGAAGAUAGUGAGAAGACUG